RNAcentral lists this ribosomal RNA (440 nucleotides) under uncultured bacterium. RNAcentral's name for it is "partial 16S ribosomal RNA". It matches the Rfam family "Bacterial small subunit ribosomal RNA", at positions 338 to 795 of the family's 1533-position model. The record is from RNAcentral.
CCUACGGGUGGCAGCAGUGGGGGAUAUUGCACAAUGGGGGAAACCCUGAUGCAGCGACGCCGCGUGGGUGAAGAAGCGCCUCGGCGCGUAAAGCUCUGUCAGCAGGGAAGAAAAUGACGGUACCUGAUGAAGAAGCCCCGGCUAACUACGUGCCAGCAGCCGCGGUAAUACGUAGGGGGCAAGCGUUAUCCGGAUUUACUGGGUGUAAAGGGGGCGCAGACGGCGAUGCAAGCCAGGUGUGAAAGCCCGGGGCCCAACCCCGGGACUGCUCUGGAAACUGCGUGGCUAGAGUGCAGGAGAGGCAGGCGGAAUUCCUGGUGUAGCGGUGAAAUGCGUAGAUAUCAGGAGGAACACCAGUGGCGAAGGCGGCCUGCUGGACUGCAACUGACGUUGAGGCCCGAAAGCGUGGGGAGCAAACAGGAUUAGAUACCCGGGUAGUC